CGGACACCGAGCUGAGCAGCGUGACAGGGGAGGAGGGAGAUGGGGAUCUGGGGUGCCAGCAGCAGCCACCCGUGCACAGUGACUAGGAAGGCGCUUCUUCCUGUCACAGCAGAGGAACACAGAACCCCCAAAUCCCUAAUACAAGGCGGACCCCUGGAAGUGAAGAAUUUCGCCAUAGAGCAAAUGAAGAAUUGCAAGGACUGGAAAUACAAGUAAUUGGAAUUAGACCUUAAACGAGGAGGAGUGAUGGAAGAAAAGGAAAAGGGGAAUUAGCAGAAGAGACCAGGAGGCCCAGGCAUGGCUUGGCUGCGGGGUGUAAAUCACCAUUUCUGCAGUCUGACUUCACCCUCUAAAUAUACUGAACUCAGUAAAUCCCAGAACUGUAAAUUCAAGGUUGCGGAGGCCACAAGAUGUUCUUUAUCACAGAGAAUGGUCUAAGCCAGCGCCAGAGUCUCUCCACCCAGAGACCCAGCACAGACACAAGAGCUACAGCCACGCUUGGAAUGUAAGACACGAGGCACUGGGAGGGAGAGUACAGAUCAUCUGCUGCCAACAGAAAUAAUCCGGGAGGAACACGGGACCCUAACUUUCCUUCUCAAUUCACUAUUACAGAUUUUAGGCAAGUUCCGCAAAUCGUCGUUGACCUUACUCUCGCUCCGGUGUCUCCCACUCUGCAUCUCUGCAAGUAAACAAGCUGGCAGUCAUUAGUCUGACAAGACGCCCACUCCACUCAAGUGUGGUAGACAACCUCCCUAGAAUGUAGCUAUACAGGUAGCCAACAAUUCCAACAAUGACUCACAGUAUAAUCCUCUCUUAUUAUAGAUGGUAAUACAAUAGGGAUAUUGUUGGUUAGGAGAGGUUUGGUUGUUAAGUGGAUUAUCCACCUUCUGAUGACUUAAUUUUUGGGCUUGUACAUGAUCUGCUGGAAUUUUUACUAAAUUCAUUGCUUAAUAUGAGGGUAAUCCAAAAAAUAAAGACCGUUUGGCUGUAGAAUUUUUUUUUGGUGUUAAACAGAGGACCUUUGUCUAUUGCUACACAUAAUUACCUCCCUUAUUUAAGCAUUUAUCAUAUCUGUC
Long non-coding RNA from Pseudophryne corroboree (corroboree frog), 1076 nucleotides. RefSeq lists it as uncharacterized. NCBI's taxonomy places the organism in Eukaryota, Metazoa, Chordata, Amphibia, Anura, Myobatrachidae. The transcript has 6 exons. The record is from RefSeq and is a predicted model, not a curated record.